RNAcentral lists this non-coding RNA (28 nucleotides) under Bombyx mori (domestic silkworm). Lineage: Eukaryota; Metazoa; Arthropoda; Insecta; Lepidoptera; Bombycidae. The record is from RNAcentral.
UAUAAGCGUCUCAGUAGGUGCACAAGAU